This 195-nucleotide ribosomal RNA is filed under the name uncultured Gammaproteobacteria bacterium. Its description in RNAcentral is "partial 16S ribosomal RNA". It matches the Rfam family "Bacterial small subunit ribosomal RNA", at positions 338 to 525 of the family's 1533-position model. Lineage: Bacteria; Pseudomonadati; Pseudomonadota; Gammaproteobacteria. The record is from RNAcentral.
CCUACGGGAGGCAGCAGUGGGGAAUAUUGGACAAUGGGCGCAAGCCUGAUCCAGCAAUGCCGCGUGUGUGAAGAAGGCCUGCGGGUUGUAAAGCACUUUUGUUCGGGAAGAAAUCAUGCUGGUUAAUACCUGGUAUGGAUGACGGUACCGAAAGAAUAAGCACCGGCUAACUUCGUGCCAGCAGCCGCGGUAAUA